Molecule: RNA transcript, 976 nt
Organism: Cercocebus atys (sooty mangabey)
Lineage: Eukaryota; Metazoa; Chordata; Mammalia; Primates; Cercopithecidae
Gene name: signal transducer CD24 pseudogene
Exons: 1
Source: RefSeq, a predicted model, not a curated record
UGAGAUUUAUUAUAAGGAAAUGACUCAUACAGUUAUGGAGGCUGCAAAGUCCUGUGAUCUGUUAUCCGCAGGCUGGAGACCCAGGAAAGCCAGUAAUACAGAUUUCAGCUUCAGUCCAAAGGCCUGAGAACCAGAAGCACUGAUGGUGUAAGUCCCAGUCUAAGGGCCAGAGAAGACCAACAUCUCAGCUCAAGCCAUUAGGCAGCCCCAGCAAACUAAUAUAGCCCCAUUUAAUCCUCCCACUGACCCUGCAAAGUCAAUUCAUUAGCUCAAUUUUAUAGGUAAGAAAACUGAGACCUUGCCUGCGCCCACCUGGAGCCAGCGGUUCUCCAAGCACCCAGCAUCCAGCGAGACAUGUCGCGCACCGACAGAGGGGACAUGGGCAGAGCAAUGGUGACCAGGCUCGGGCUGGGGCUGCUGCUGCUGGGACUGCUCCUACCCACACAGAUUUAUUCCAAUCAAACAACUGUUGUAACAGUUUCAAGUAAUUCCUCCAAGAGUACUUCAACGGCCCCAAAUCCAGCUAGUGCCACCACCAAGGCGGUUGGUGGUGCCCUGCAGUCAACAGCCAGUCUCUUCGUGGUCUCACUAUCUCUUCUACAUCUCUACUGUCAAAAGACUCAGGCCAAGAAACAUCUAAACUUCCCCAUCUUCUACACCCAAUCCACAUGGCGUCUGGAAGUCCAAUGUGGCAAGGAAAAACAGGUCUUUGUCGAAUCUACUAAUUCCACACCUUUUAUUGACACAGAAAAUGUUGAGAAUCCCAAAUUUGAUUGGUUUACAGAACAUGUGAGAGGUUUGACUAGAUGAUGGAUGCCAAUAUUAAAUCUGCUGGAGUUUCAUAUGCAAGAUGAAGGAGAGGCAACAUCCAAAAUAGCUAAGACAUGAUUUCCUUGAAUGUGGCUUAAGAAAUAUGGACACUUAAUACUAUCUUGAAAAUAAGAAUAGAAAUAAAGGAUGUGAUUGUGGAAUGGAA